UUCACAGAAGAGAAGGAAGACCAAGGAAAUGAUUUGCUCAGGAUGAGGAAUGAAGAAGGCCAUCUUGUGCUCAAGCAAACAGAAGUCCUCUGGUAUAUCUCAUCAGCCAAAUGAGGGGUUUCGACCAAGUUAUGCUCUUGAAAGGAGUGAAAGGAGAGGAUGUGGUAAAUUGUCUUUAGAGAAAAAGCUUCUCAAAAGGUCUUAAAGCAGCUUGAAGAAUGGUCUGGGAACUGUCUGAAAAUGGGAUGUUAGGACUGAGAGAUCCUCUGGCUGAGAAAAAGCUACACCACAUCAGUGCUGGAUAUCAACCACAAACUGUUUCCAGACACGAGAGAAGAAGAUCAUGAUGGGGAGAUGAAACCAGUUUAGAUGUGAUGAUAAGGAAUCAUUAUUUUCUGAAACAGUAUCACAUGUCUUAUAUGUAUCACAUGAUCUGUAUCACAGUUGACUGGAUG
Long non-coding RNA from Carassius carassius (crucian carp), 455 nucleotides. RefSeq lists it as uncharacterized. The record is from RefSeq and is a predicted model, not a curated record. NCBI's taxonomy places the organism in Eukaryota, Metazoa, Chordata, Actinopteri, Cypriniformes, Cyprinidae. The transcript is spliced from 3 exons.